Molecule: ribosomal RNA, 445 nt
Filed under: uncultured bacterium
Lineage: Bacteria
Description: bacterial SSU rRNA
Rfam family: Bacterial small subunit ribosomal RNA
Source: RNAcentral
GUAGGGAAUAUUGGGCAAUGGAGGCAACUCUGACCCAGCCAUGCCGCGUGCAGGAUGACGGCCCUCUGGGUUGUAAACUGCUUUUAUUCGGGAAGAAAAAAUACUACGUGUAGUAUACUGACGGUACCGUAAGAAUAAGGAUCGGCUAACUCCGUGCCAGCAGCCGCGGUAAUACGGAGGAUCCAAGCGUUGUCCGGAUUUAUUGGGUUUAAAGGGUGCGUAGGCGGAUCUUUAAGUCAGUGGUGAAAGCCUGCAGCUUAACUGUAGAAUUGCCAUUGAAACUGAAGAUCUUGAAUGUGGUUAAAGUAGGCGGAAUGUAUCAUGUAGCGGUGAAAUGCUUAGAUAUGAUACAGAACACCGAUAGCGAAGGCAACUUGCUGAACCAUUAUUGACGCUGAGGCACGAAAGCGUGGGGAGCGAACAGGAUUAGAAACCCGGGUAGUCC